GGGGAUCGUAAGACCUUACGCUUUUGGAGCGGCCGAUGUCUGAUUAGCUAGUUGGUAGGGUAAAGGCUUACCAAGGCGACGAUCAGUAGUUGGUCUGAGAGGAUGGCCAACCACACUGGGACUGAGACACGGCCCAGACUCCUACGGGAGGCAGCAGUGGGGAAUUUUGGACAAUGGGGGCAACCCUGAUCCAGCAAUGCCGCGUGAGUGAAGAAGGCCUUCGGGUUGUAAAGCUCUUUCAGUUGAGAAGAAAAAGUUAUGACUAAUAAUCAUAAUUCAUGACGGUAUCAGCAGAAGAAGCACCGGCUAACUACGUGCCAGCAGCCGCGGUAAUACGUAGGGUGCAAGCGUUAAUCGGAAUUACUGGGCGUAAAGGGUACGCAGGCGGUUAUGUAAGUCAGAUGUGAAAUCCCCGGGCUUAACCUGGGAAUUGCGUUUGAAA
This 442-nucleotide ribosomal RNA is filed under the name uncultured bacterium. RNAcentral's name for it is "bacterial SSU rRNA". It matches the Rfam family "Bacterial small subunit ribosomal RNA", at positions 199 to 632 of the family's 1533-position model. The record is from RNAcentral.